AAAGUCGUAACAAGGUCUCCGUUGGUGAACCAGCGGAGGGAUCAUUACAGAGUUGCAAAACUCCCAAACCAUCGUGAACGUUACCUAUAUCGUUGCUUCGGCGGGCGGCGCGCCCGGAGGGGUCCUAACCGGCCCCCCCGCGGUCCGCCCUCGGCCCCACCGUGGGGCCCGCCGGAGGUCUACCAAACUCUGAAUUUAUAUGGCCUCUCUGAGUCUUCUGUACUGAAUAAGUCAAAACUUUCAACAACGGAUCUCUUGGUUCUG
This 264-nucleotide unclassified non-coding RNA is filed under the name Ascomycota sp. RNAcentral's name for it is "partial contains small subunit ribosomal RNA, internal transcribed spacer 1, and 5.8S ribosomal RNA". The stretch from base 1 to 47 matches the Rfam family "Eukaryotic small subunit ribosomal RNA", at positions 1785 to 1831 of the family's 1831-position model. Lineage: Eukaryota; Fungi; Ascomycota. The record is from RNAcentral.